This 210-nucleotide long non-coding RNA is filed under the name Olea europaea (common olive). RNAcentral's name for it is "long non-coding RNA (OEUR_LNC009752)". Lineage: Eukaryota; Viridiplantae; Streptophyta; Magnoliopsida; Lamiales; Oleaceae. The record is from RNAcentral.
AUACAAGAAUGCAUGAAUUUUUAUGAACACUUUAUGAAUUGCACAAAGCAUAGGGGUAUAUUUCUAUCCCCUAUCGAACCCUAUGUUAAUUUAUAUUAUAUCGAAUCUAUUCCCCUUCUUUCGAAUGCAAAGAAUAAAUCAUCUAAACUCACAUAACAUAUGGCCAAUAAUUAUGGAAGCAAUCAAAUCAUAUAAAUCAAACAAUUGUCC